RNAcentral lists this ribosomal RNA (504 nucleotides) under uncultured bacterium. RNAcentral's name for it is "bacterial SSU rRNA". It matches the Rfam family "Bacterial small subunit ribosomal RNA", at positions 31 to 545 of the family's 1533-position model. The record is from RNAcentral.
GAACGCUGGCGGCGUGCCUAACACAUGCAAGUCGAGCGGACUACAUGAAGGGGUAACUCUUCAUGUAGUUAGCGGCGAACGGGUGAGUAACACGUGGGUAACCUACCCUCAGGUGGGGGAUAACUCGGGGAAACCUGAGCUAAUACCCCAUAAGACUACGGGCUGAAAGGCUUGUAGUAAAAGAAGCAAUUCGCCUGAGGAUGGGCCCGCGGCCUAUCAGGUAGUUGGUAGGGUAAUGGCCUACCAAGCCUAUGACGGGUAGCCGAGCUGAGAGGCUGGCCGGCCACACUGGGACUGAGACACGGCCCAGACUCCUACGGGAGGCAGCAGUGGGGAAUCUUGGGCAAUGGGCGAAAGCCUGACCCAGCGACGCCGCGUGGGGGAAGAAGGCCUUCGGGUUGUAAACCCCUUUUGCAGGGGACGACACAGGACGGUACCCUGCGAAUAAGCCACGGCUAACUCUGUGCCAGCAGCCGCGGUAAGACAGAGGUGGCGAGCGUUGCU